AGGUGCAUGGAAAGAAGUAAUUCACAUAUAAAUUUCCUACAGUGUCUUAGUUUGUGCUGUUUGUAAGCAUAUGUAGCAGCCAUGUUGACCAGCGGAGGCACUGAAUCCUUGACAUUCUUUGUACUUGAAAUCACCUGGUCUUCUACUGGAGGCUGCUGGCUUCUUGACAGUGAGCUGAGGAUUUACCACUGGAACAGUGAAACUGACGAUGGAGAUACGGAAAACACCCACUCUCCGUUCUGACCAGAGAUGAGCCUCAGCUCUGCACAAGAGUCCCUUUACUGAAUCCACAAGAGAAGAAAAGCUUGAACGGAGCUGGAAAAUGAGGACAUCUUUUCCCUCGGCACCUUGGCUUCCAUCAGGAGAUGUAAUGGUAUAUGUCAAAUGCUAAGAAGACUACAGCAAUUCUGUAAGACAUAUGUAAGCAUCAGUAUUUCUUCAAGAAGAAUAGAAAAGCUCAGGGCAGAGGAGCCCAGCGUUGUGCUCAGGAUUGUACUUACAUUUGUGGAACCAAGGGAUAGAACAACUCCUGCGCCUGACAAAAAGUCCUCUCAUGCUUCUGCCUGCUUCAAGUGGAUUGUGCUACCUUCUCUUCUUCAGGAAAAUUAAUGUGUUACUGCAGAUAUACUGCUAAGGUCUUAUUAAAGCAAAUUA
This is a long non-coding RNA of Tyto alba (common barn owl), 654 nucleotides long. RefSeq lists it as uncharacterized. The transcript is spliced from 3 exons. Lineage: Eukaryota; Metazoa; Chordata; Aves; Strigiformes; Tytonidae. The record is from RefSeq and is a predicted model, not a curated record.